GCUAUCCUACGGGGCGCAGCAGUAGGGAAUCUUCCACAAUGGACGAAAGUCUGAUGGAGCAACGCCGCGUGAGUGAAGAAGGGUUUCGGCUCGUAAAGCUCUGUUGGUAGUGAAGAAAGAUAGAGGUAGUAACUGGCCUUUAUUUGACGGUAAUUACUUAGAAAGUCACGGCUAACUACGUGCCAGCAGCCGCGGUAAUACGGAGGUGGCAAGCGUUGUCCGGGUUUAUUGGGCGUAAAGCGAGUGCAUGCGGUGUAAAUA
RNAcentral lists this ribosomal RNA (261 nucleotides) under uncultured bacterium. RNAcentral's name for it is "partial 16S ribosomal RNA". It matches the Rfam family "Bacterial small subunit ribosomal RNA", at positions 333 to 586 of the family's 1533-position model. The record is from RNAcentral.